RNAcentral lists this small RNA (894 nucleotides) under Pan troglodytes (chimpanzee). RNAcentral's name for it is "retained intron". The record is from RNAcentral. Lineage: Eukaryota; Metazoa; Chordata; Mammalia; Primates; Hominidae.
AGGGCCGCGCGCUCUCGCCUGCCCGCCCCGAACCGCCCCGCGCUGGGAAUUUGCCGCGGCCUCCGCGGGGGCAGCCGAGCUGAACCGGUCUCUUCCUCGGAAAGGCAGGGCCGAGGGGCUCGCGGGGCAGCCAUGGAGGCGACGCGGAGGCGGCAGCACUUGGGAGCGGCGGGCGGCCCGGGCGCGCAGCUGGGCGCCUCCUUCCUGCAGGCCAGGCAUGGCUCUGUGAGCGCUGAUGAGGCUGCCCACACGGCUCCCUUCCACCUCGACCUCUGGUUCUACUUUACACUGCAGAACUGGGUUCUGGACUUUGGGCGUCCCAUUGCCAUGCUGGUAUUCCCUCUCGAGUGGUUUCCACUCAACAAGCCCAGUGUUGGGGACUACUUCCACAUGGCCUACAACGUCAUCACGCCCUUUCUCUUGCUCAAGGUACUGUCCCAGGGCCCCCACUCUUUCCUGUCAUCCCCAUUCUUUGCACACCUGGCAGGAAGGUGAUGCUAAGCCCUGUGUCCUGACUCAAGCACGCUCCUGCCUGCUGCUGGGGGGUGAAGGCUGUGACAGAGCAGCAUGUCCAGGGCCUGGGGCCCGGGGAAGGCGGAGCUGCCGGUGGCCUGGAGGGAUGGAAAAUAUGCCCCAAGAAAGGGCUUUUGAUUUGAGCCUCAGCCUGGCGUGCCAGUGGGGGAAGCAGAGAUGUGUUCAGGUAGAAGGACCUAAAGACAAGGCUGUGCUUGGGAAACCGUAAAACAUUUGGGGAGGCUGAGGCAGAAGUGACUGGAGGUCCAGGGAGAGGUCAAGGACCCACUGGGAAGAGAGGAAGAAGCCAGGUGGCAGGAGAGGCAGCAGCAGCAGCUGAACUCCAUCCUCCACCCUGGAGAGCCCUGAGAUGUCACUGGG